GUAGGUGCAGACACACACACACACACACACACACACACACACACACACACACACAGAGAGAGAGAGAGAGAGAGAGAGACAGACAGACAGACAGACAGACAGACAGACAGAUAGAGGGACAAACUAUUAACACCAAGAUGGAGCAUGCAUUAUAGAAAAAGGAUGGGGAAUUGUUUGUAGCAGGAAAUGUUGCCUGUAGGUGCUUCUCUUUUCUUCUGGGUGAAGUGGAUUGGGGUGAUCUGCUGGAGGAGAGACCUGCAGUGUAGGUAGAGGCACAGGUCAGGAGAGAACCAACUCCAGAGACCAGGGAAGGCUGAGCAGUCAAAGAUGACGUCUGAGAAGUUACCGGAUGUGAGCUGAUCAGAAGCCAAUUGCUAGAUGCCGCGACCGCCUGGACCAGCAAGAAUGACGCAACACCGGAGCUCUUCUUGCAAGCAGUUUAUUCAGAACCUUGAACAGCGAUCUCUCUCCUCGGGCAAGCCUCUCCCAGCCCUUAAAUAGGCAUGGACCACCAACGCUGGAUUGCUACGUGGGCACCGUCCAUAGGUCCAACACAUACGCAAGCGCUUACGAUCAUCUGGCCUUAGCCAUAUAUGGAGUUGUUUUUCGAAGAGAGCGCUGGCUUUCGGGAUCGCGGAGGGCGGGAGCCAGCGCCAUCUUUAAAGCGCGGCUCCACGCAGCUCUCUACAGCUAGAUAUUAUUCAGUGUUUCCAUUUUUUUGAAAAUUAACAUGGUGACACCUUUAAUCUCACCAUUUGGAAGGCAGAGGCAGGUGGACCUCUCUGAGUUUGAGGCCAACCUGGUGAGACCUUAUCUUAAACAAAAAUAAGGUAAAAAUAGAAUAGGCACAGGAUUUGCACUCAUCAACCCUUUAUUUUCCUCAUUUUUCCACUUAGCCAUUUAUCUUGUCUGUCUUCUAGAAGCCACAGAAAUUUUAAAUUCUUGCUAGAGACUGCCAGCACCUGUAGCACCCUUAUUUCUGCAUCUAGUUACCCUUGAACUUUCAUUUCUUAAAUGAAAUAAACUUAUUUACUACAUAAGUAAGCUUCCAGCUUCCCUUCCUGUCCAGUGGCACCUGAUUUACAAAAAGGGGGACUAUGGUUGUUUCACUUAGAAGUUCCUGAUCCACUGACCUCAAGGUGGAGGUGGAGGCCACUCUGAGAAGGAAUGGAGAACUGUAAGCACUUCUUUUUUUUGCAGGCACAAAACUACACAUGUGCAUUUUGGAACAAUGUCAGACCUAUUUCUGAGUCCUGAAGCUCCUAAGAUGCCAGUAAGGGAUGUGGAAAUGCCCCAUAUUUUUUGUUGCCUGGAGUUAAAGUAUACAUAAACUGGUAUAUAUGAUUCUUACCUUAUUGAAGAAGGGUCUGAAAUGGCACCUUUCUCCCAAACAUGAACAAUACUUAUUAUAUUUAUGUUGCUGUAACAAAACAAGUUAGUGAAGACCAUAGAUUUAUUUCUUAUAGUUCGGAGAGCUGUUGAGGUCAAGGUUAAGGCCAACAUACUAGCUGAUUCAGUGUGUGGUGAAGGCUUGUUUGCUGUUUACACAGUAGCACCAGAAGGACUCUGUGCUCACAUGGUAGAUGACAGAAGGACAAAAGCUCAUCUAAUUCCCCUGAGUCUUUUCACACAGGUGUUGAUUUCCUUGAUGAGAGCCGGGCCCUUCAUGACUUAAUCAGUUAUUAAAGGGCCCCUGCAUCUUAAUCCUGAUUUUAAAUUUUGGCCUACAUCCAAACAAUAGGUAUUUUCUAUAUACAAGAUAUUUCUUCAUGUGAGUUUGCGUAUUUGUGUGUGUAUAUGUGUACACAGGUAUGUGUGCAUCCAUGUGGAGGUCAGAGGUUGAUGUCAGGCAAUAUUCUUUGAUCACUGUCUACCUUAUGUUUUGAGACAGGGUCUCUCACUGGACUUGAAGUGAACUGAUUGUCUAGACUGGCUGGUUGUCAAACCCCAGGGGUCUUCCUUUCUUCACCUCCUCGACAAUGGGAUUGCAAAUGUGAUACCAUGCCUGGAAUUUUAAUUGGGUGCUGGGGAUCCAAACUCUAAGUGAACCAUUUCCUCAGAGCCAACUACAUUAGAUAGUCAUGUUAAUAUCAUGAGAUGUUAAAAAAAACCUAAGAUUGUGUAGAUAUAAAAGCAAUGUCCAUUCUAGGAGCAAGAGACCUGCCUUUUCUGGCUAACCUGAUGGAUCUAGGUGACCCACAGCUAUACAAUUUGGCCAUGCUAUUGGUAACAUUUGCCAUUUUUCUUGGGGUUGUAUAAAGUCUCCCAGUGACUACAGUUCCCUUGGUGGCCAUUUGAGUCACAGGGAAGAAAAAUAAUCUCCAGAAAGCACAGAAUGAAUAAUGGCAGCAUGGGGAAGAGAUGCUCAUGGUUAUGACCCACUCACAGAUUUUUGAAAUAUAGGUCAGAUGGAGAGGAAGUGAAACUUCCUGUUGAAGUUUCAUUUAUAGCAUGUGUCUGGAAAUUGCUAAAUGUAAUUUCUUGGUGUAAAAUAAACUGCAGAAAUCUGGGUUGUGUCCGUCUGCUGUAUGUUUAUGGAAGCCAUUCUGUCUGAAGCUGAGAUGCUGUGAAAUUAUAUAGUGGCAUGAACAGCCACAAUUAGUGUAACAGAUGUGACCCUCUUCUCCAACUCAGAAGCUGUCAGGAUCUCAGCAACCGGAUCCAGAAACUAUCUGGGAAUUCCUAAAAUCCAUACAAUGCUACCCAUGUGAAGGACAACAUCAACGUUUUAUUUGCUACACAUUCGUUUGUGUGUCUUAGUACUUUCUACUUUCCUUUUUUAGUGACUUAAAAACAAUAAGCAUGGGGCUAGAAUGAUAGUUCACUUGGUAAUGUGUUAGCAUUGAGGUUGAGAUAAGAGGAUUUGAGGUCCUGUCAAAUGGAUGAAUUCCAAGUCCCAGUGAGAGACCCAAUCUCAAAAGUAAGGUGGUAAAAAAAAAAAAAAAAAAAGAGGGCCAGAAAGAUGGCUCAGUGGAUAGGAUGUCUGUUGUGGGAGUGUGAAGAC
This 3004-nucleotide long non-coding RNA is filed under the name Cricetulus griseus (Chinese hamster). Its description in RNAcentral is "lncRNA (ENSCGRG00015008086.2)". Lineage: Eukaryota; Metazoa; Chordata; Mammalia; Rodentia; Cricetidae. The record is from RNAcentral.